AGGCGACCCGAGCCGCCAGCCGGGCGUGAAGACCUCUGGACAUCUGAGCCUAAGCAGGGCCACUAAAUGAGAGAGAAUCCCAUCACUGAAAAGCAACAAUGAAUAUAUUAAGGACCACAGGAGAGAUAGAAGAAAUAUUGCAACUGAAGCUGCUAGAUGGUUAUGAUUAUCUGAAUAGGUGUGAUCUUGACUUUAGCGAAUUAACAGGUAAGCUUCUUACUAUGAGGUUGGUGCAAAAGUAAUUGUGGUUUUUGGUAAUUGCACCAACCUAAUAUAAGUA
RNAcentral lists this long non-coding RNA (280 nucleotides) under Homo sapiens (human). Its description in RNAcentral is "non-protein coding SMIM15-AS1:25". The record is from RNAcentral. Lineage: Eukaryota; Metazoa; Chordata; Mammalia; Primates; Hominidae.